This 253-nucleotide ribosomal RNA is filed under the name uncultured bacterium. RNAcentral's name for it is "partial 16S ribosomal RNA". It matches the Rfam family "Bacterial small subunit ribosomal RNA", at positions 524 to 776 of the family's 1533-position model. The record is from RNAcentral.
UACGUAGGUGACAAGCGUUGUCCGGAUUUACUGGGCGUAAAGAGCGCGCAGGCGGUCGAUCAAGUCGAGUGUGAAAGCCCCCGGCUCAACUGGGGAGGGUCAUUCGAUACUGAUCGACUCGAAGGCAGGAGAGGGUAGUGGAAUUCCCGGUGUAGUGGUGAAAUGCGUAGAUAUCGGGAGGAACACCAGUGGCGAAGGCGGCUCACUGGACCGGAACUGACGCUGAUGCGCGAAAGCGUGGGGAGCAAACGGG